UCGUCUAUAUACGUAUAGCAUAUCAAUAAGCGGAGGAAAAGUAACUAACAAGGAUUCCCUUAGUAACGGCGAGUGAAGCGGGAAGAGCUCAAAUUUGAAAUCUUCAAGGUUCUACCUUGACGAAUUGUAGUUUAAAGAAGUGUUUUCUGUUAGAGGAGUAGGCAAAAGUUCCUUGGAAUAGGGACAUCAUAGAGGGUGAGAAUCCCGUAUUUGGUUAUUCUUUCUAGCUUUGUGAUACACUUUCAAAGAGUCGGAUUGUUUGGGAAUGCAGUCCAAAAUGGGUGGUAAAUUUCAUCUAAAGCUAAAUAUUGGCGAGAGACCGAUAGCGAACAAGUACCGUGAGGGAAAGAUGAAAAGAACUUUGAAAAGAGAGUUAAACAGUACGUGAAAUUGUCAAAAGGGAAGCGUUUGACACCAGUGUUGUUUUUCCGAAAAUCAAUUAAGAGUGGCUUGAUUUUGUGUUGUAUUGACCUUAUCAGCUUUCUUCACUCUUUUUCGAGUCUUUCUUAAUGCACUUUUCGGUUAACAAGUCAACAUCAAUUUCUUUUGUUGUAAAAGGGUAUUUGGAAGGUGGCUUUCUUUUCGGAGAAAGUGUUUAUAGCCUUUUACCUCUACAAUCGGAGAGAUUGAGGUCUGCAGCGUAGAUCCUUCGGGGUUAGAUACACUUGUGCUAAGUUAUAGCUUUUCAUAGACAACUUGUUGACUAUGUUUAGUCAUGUAGCUUACCCGCUUGUGCUAUUUUACCUACGCUUAGGAUGUUGAGUCAUCACACAUCUCU
This 778-nucleotide ribosomal RNA is filed under the name uncultured Neocallimastigales. RNAcentral's name for it is "partial large subunit ribosomal RNA". It matches the Rfam family "Eukaryotic large subunit ribosomal RNA", at positions 25 to 614 of the family's 3401-position model. The record is from RNAcentral. Lineage: Eukaryota; Fungi; Neocallimastigomycota; Neocallimastigomycetes; Neocallimastigales.